This 445-nucleotide ribosomal RNA is filed under the name uncultured bacterium. RNAcentral's name for it is "partial 16S ribosomal RNA". It matches the Rfam family "Bacterial small subunit ribosomal RNA", at positions 354 to 796 of the family's 1533-position model. The record is from RNAcentral.
GUGAGGAAUAUUGCGCAAUGGAGGCAACUCUGACGCAGCCAUGCCGCGUGCAGGAAGAAGGCGCUACGCGUUGUAAACUGCUUUUAACCGGGAAGAAACCCCAGGACGUGUCCUGGGUUGACGGUACCGGAGGAAUAAGCACCGGCUAACUUCGUGCCAGCAGCCGCGGUAAUACGAAGGGUGCAAGCGUUAUCCGGAUUCAUUGGGUUUAAAGGGUGCGUAGGCGGAGCGUUAAGUCAGUGGUGAAAUCCUGCAGCUUAACUGUAGACUUGCCAUUGAUACUGGCGCUCUUGAGUGCGCUUGAAGUGGGCGGAAUGUGCCGUGUAGCGGUGAAAUGCUUAGAUAUGGCACAGAACACCAAUUGCGGAGGCAGCUCACUAAGGCGAUACUGACGCUGAGGCACGAAAGCGUGGGGAUCGAACAGGAUUAGAAACCCUUGUAGUCC